UACGAAGGGGGCUAGCGUUGUUCGGAUUUACUGGGCGUAAAGGGCGCGUAGGCGGCAUGACAAGUCACUUGUGAAAUCUCUGGGCUUAACCCAGAACGGCCAAGUGAUACUGUCGCGCUAGAGUGCAGAAGGGGCAAUCGGAAUUCUCGGUGUAGCGGUGAAAUGCGUAGAUAUCGAGAGGAACACCAGAGGUGAAGACGGGUUGCUGGGCUGACACUGACGCUGAGGCGCGAAAGCCAGGGGAGCAAACGGG
This 253-nucleotide ribosomal RNA is filed under the name uncultured bacterium. Its description in RNAcentral is "partial 16S ribosomal RNA". It matches the Rfam family "Bacterial small subunit ribosomal RNA", at positions 524 to 776 of the family's 1533-position model. The record is from RNAcentral.